CCUACGGGUGGCUGCAGUAGGGAAUCUUCGGCAAUGGACGCAAGUCUGACCCAGCAACGCCGCGUGAAGGAAGAAGGCUUUCGGGUUGUAAACUUCUUUUAAGGGUGAAGAGCAGAAGACGUUACCCCUUGAAUAAGCCACGCCUAACUACGUGCCAGCAGCCGCGGUAAUACGUAGGUGGCAAGCGUUGUCCGGAUUUACUGGGUGUAAAGGUCGUGCAGCCGGAGCGACAAGUCAGAUGUGAAAGCCACGGGCUCAACCCGAGAACUGCAUUUGAAACUGUUUCCCUUGAGUGUCGGAGAGGUAAGCGGAAGUCCAUGUGUAGCGGUGAAAUGCGUAGAUAUAAGGAAGAACACCAGUGGCGAAGGCGGAUUACUGGACGAGAACUGACGGUGAGGCGCGAAAGCGUGGGGAGCAAACAGGAUUAGAUACCCUAGUAGUC
Molecule: ribosomal RNA, 442 nt
Filed under: uncultured bacterium
Lineage: Bacteria
Description: partial 16S ribosomal RNA
Rfam family: Bacterial small subunit ribosomal RNA
Source: RNAcentral